AUUGUAUUUCGUGAUUACCGGAUAAAAGCAGUAAAUGCAAGGCGAGAAUGCAAGGCGUGUUUGACAAAUUUAUAGCAUCAGUUUUUAUGCUCUCCGGGAAAACCUUGAAAUAACUGACAAUAUAUAAACGAGCGCAAACUCGUCAUUCAAAUGCGCAAUGCGUAAGUGAUGUGCUGGAAAUGUAGCGCACGUAAUACACGAGGACAGUAGGCGUACUUGAACAGAUACAGCAUAUUAAAAUACAUUUUAACAAGUGCAAUAUGUAUAAUCAACUAAGUGAUAUUUCUUUUGUGCUGCAGCGAUGAUAAACACGUGCCAGAAAAAUCUGAUAUCUUCCUCGUGGUUUCAUCGAAUGAGGUUUACCGCAUAAAUUCGCAGAAAUCUUUUGAGAGAAGCACGCUAAUUAUUAAAUUAUUAUUAUCGAUAUUUUAUCUUUGCCAUUAUUGGAUUUCAAGAGAGCGGUAAAAAUAAAAAUGCUCAGUAAUGAAAUAAUAAAUUAAAACGCAUGACUAAUAUUAUGCGUUAUAUAAAUUUACAGCUUAAUAUAAAUUAUCUCAUAAUGUUCAGUUAUUUAUAACAUGUUGUAUAAUUUGCAGCAUCUUUAUGUAUAUUAUCUGAUGUUAGAAAUAUACGUUUUACAAUUAAUCGUAAUUUCCCGUACCAAUUUAGUGCCGAGUCUAGCAUAUAAACCGGAAAUGACCAUGAAAACGUCCUUACCUAGUUCCAUCAAUUGCAGCAAUUCAAAUCGUUGCCUUCACCUGGUCUAGUAAAUGCAGAAUUCAUGGUUCAUUACGCACGAAUACAAGUUUCUUCUAAUAAUAAAUUAAUUCACUAAAUACAACAUAAGAAAAUCAUAAAUUGUUCAUAAACCAUAAACUGUUUUUAUAUAUUACGUUUUUAUUGCGUUUUUAAUCACACUUUUCUGUAUUACGAGAUGCUUUAAAUGAGCGUCCUUGUCAUUUUUGCGUCUCGUCAUACAAAUGUAAAAAAGAAAAUGGAUUUCGUUAUGAAAACGUUGAAUUUCAUACUUUUGACAUAGUUGUAAUUUAUAGUUUGUAUCAUGAAACAUAUUUCUAUAUAUUUUUUGUACAAUGGUACACGAUCGCAAUCCAUAAAACAUGAAAAAAACUGUACAUGAUGUGACGUUUACGUUAGUUGUAACAUUGUAAAGAUGUACGCUAAAUUAUAACGUGAUGGAGGGACUGCUUCCAGUUUUGGCCAUCGUUUUCUGCGUGAAUAAACUCCUCUGGCUAUCCUGCCUCGCUUUGGUGUGCCUGACGUCAAAUAAAUCCAGCAAACGGGCGACCUGCAAGAGAAACGAUCAACGAGAAUGAGAUUCUUGAGAAGGGAAAUUGCCACGCGGUGACUUCAAUGCCUGGCGUGCACGUUGCAGCGAAUCAACGACGUUCACGAUUUAAUUAUCAUUUCGUCGGAACGCAUGCAAUUACCGAAGAUGUUUUAAUAGAGGAGUACUUCCCCGGCGAAUCUCUGCCGCAGAAUUACGUAAUUAGUAUUUUGGUGAGCCGUUCUGAAGCGUUUGAUGCGAGACUGUGCGGGCAAAUUGAAUGGUGAGCGAGCCAUUGAUCUUCCUCCGAAAGGAGAUUAAAAAGGAAAUGCGAUGCAAGGAGAAAUGAAAGGUUGAAGAGUAAUAAUUUUGACGUAGUGUAAAUUAGAAGUUACGCAGAUGAAACAUACAUGUUGCGCAUCCAUUUGAUCUUUUCUCGUGUAUCAUUGUAAUUGCAAUCACGUGAAAAUAUAAUAGUGAUCAUUAUUAAGAGCACAUUGCAAUAGACAAUAAUUUUUGACGUCGUGUAUCAAAUUAUUUCUUUUUUAUUUUAUUUUCAAUGAGUUAAUCUGUUACAAAUGUUUAACAUCUCUGAUUAGUAGGUAAAAUAGUAUCGAUACCGGCAAUGGAAAGACGCGGAGGAUUUGCUGAGAAUCAUCGUACCUUCCUUCAAAAGAAUAUCAAGACGACGCAAGAGAUGGCGAUAGCUUCUUAUUUCGGGCAGGCGUGAAGACACAAGAUCCUUGGCAAGGAGGAGAGGAAGUGCCAUCAGCUUCUUUUUUUUGAUAGAUACAUGAAUAACCCAAUUAUUAUCAAGAAAUCCCAUUAAGAUAUUACUGAUGAAGAAGAAGAUGAAAUGGUUACAGUUUUAUGGCCAGAUCGAGAAUAAAUGUUUGUUCAUGAAUUAUUUAGACGCAACUUCAAACAAAUGCACCAAAUUUGUUUGCUCUUUCGCACAUUGGAGUGAUGAACAAAAAAUGCCAAAGGAAACGUGUAUAUGCAGUUCGACCAUCGUUAGCGAAGCGAGCAUAUCCGCUGAUUGUUACCGGCGGAAAUAAUCCUUUAUUCGAUGUGAUUGAACGUCAUGCCCUUCCAGCUGUGAAAAAUUACGUAAAACUAAGCAAGAUCGACGCUGCCAGCCAUGAAUUAAGGAAGAGAGGAAGUAAUGAAAAAACGUAGUACAAGAGGAUACGCUUAUGACGAAUCACUUUUUCUUGUCAUUACCGCCUUUUUUCCCCGAGAUCUCGCUAGACCGGCUCAUUUCCGGUUGAUGCUCGUCAGGAAUGACCAGACCUCGAGCAAUUUCUCGCUUAAUUGAGCUUCCAAUUAGUCAGAUAAAUGUAUCAGAUACGAUUAAUAUUAUCGAUAAAUUGUUAAUUACUGUAACAAUAAUGUCCUUUUACUUGAAGUAAUCUACUUAAUUGCGCAACAUUCCAGUUUGUCAUUUUGCUUCAGCUUCUUCAUUUUCUUCUCCGACGAAAAGCGAUCGAAGCAAGAUUGCAGAUGAACGUUAAUUACGUGUGACGCAAUAUACGUGAAAAUCUGCUUGCAGAUUUAUUUAUUUCGCUAAUUCGUAUAUAACGACAGUGUCCGCCGAUGCAAUCCUCAGAAAGGAUCUAUCGAAUCGUAAAUCUUUCUAACGUAUAAUCCUUCCGAACGCGUUUAAGUGCGCAUAAUUAUCGCCUACUUUGCGUAUCUGUUAUUCACCGAUGUAGUAUAUAUAGCGUAAAUUGAUGAUAAACUCUUGCGAGUUUCCUCUUGAGCUUCUCACGCGGCUUUGAUCAUUUUCGAUUGCGUUCUCCAAUGGAUUAUGCGAAUAAAAUCACGCGACGCGGUUUCGUGUCCCUCUGCUAAUCGCUCGUUAUAUAUCGAAUUAACGCUUAUCUCUUCUUCUCAGCGUCGCGCGCCUACACAUAUCCAAAGAAAGGUCAGGGGAAGAGGAAAAGGACUGUGCACAG
RNAcentral lists this long non-coding RNA (3243 nucleotides) under Ooceraea biroi (clonal raider ant). RNAcentral describes it as "uncharacterized LOC105282878". The record is from RNAcentral. Lineage: Eukaryota; Metazoa; Arthropoda; Insecta; Hymenoptera; Formicidae.